RNAcentral lists this long non-coding RNA (231 nucleotides) under Elaeis guineensis (African oil palm). RNAcentral's name for it is "long non-coding RNA (EGUI_LNC076673)". Lineage: Eukaryota; Viridiplantae; Streptophyta; Magnoliopsida; Arecales; Arecaceae. The record is from RNAcentral.
AUCACAAAGCUUGGACAUCUUGGUUUGUUGCAUCUCAUCUCCAUAAUUAAUUUUAAGGGCACUUAACCCAUUAAUCAGAUAAGGUGGGGACUCGAUCAUCUUUUCUUAGCCCAAAAAUCACAUCCUUCAUCUUGCAUAACCAAGAUCUUUAAUUUAAAAUUAAUUAGAUGUUGACCACUAAGGUGUUCGAGCAUACUAGGAUAAGACAUCCGAAAGAGUUGAACCGGGUCA